RNAcentral lists this transfer RNA (50 nucleotides) under Cottus volki. RNAcentral's name for it is "partial tRNA-Pro". The record is from RNAcentral. Lineage: Eukaryota; Metazoa; Chordata; Actinopteri; Perciformes; Cottidae.
CAAGGAAUAGUUUAAUUUAGAAUCCUAUCUUUGGGAGCUAGGGGUAGGAG